UGUCAUCCUUUUUUAUUCAAGUUGAUGUAAUGCAGAAACACACUCUGGAAUGCCUAAAAAUGUCCAGAAUGCAUCUGCAAAUUUGAGGGUAUUUGUAAUUAGUAUAAAUAAUUACCUUCAACCAGGAAAAAAGAUUUUGUUUAGCUAUAAUUUACGUUCCUGCAGCCUAUACUGUACCUCUGUGUCAUUCCUCGGGAACACAGGAACCUCAAGGUGAACUGGGCGGGGUCGGAAUCUGAUCUUUGUUGCUGCAGAAACCACAUCCUGAGUUUCUAAAUCAGGCAACAUCAUCCAUACAGUACAUGGAGAAUAUGAGACAGUUCUGCAGCCACCGCCGGAUGUAAAGAUGCACACACCCACAUAAAAAUGGCAUACAGAGCUGUCCACUUAGAAUGCAAAUAUCCCCUGCUGCUGAACUCUUAGUAUGCUAAUAAGCUUUGAAAAAGCAGUGUCACUAUUCUGAUGAAUAUGCAUGAGUGGCCAAGUGAGGGUGACCUGUAGGAUUGAGACGGAGGUCUUGAGAGGUGGGAUGUCAGCAGUGAGACCACAGCUCCCAUGGGACCUGAAUGGACAGAAAAGAACACAUUCACAGUAAUGAUUAACUUACACACCAACACACACAUACACCUAUGCCAACCUCAUCUUGCCCCACCCUCUGUGUUUUUGCCUCUUGAUCCAGCUUUCACACACCUGCCUUCACUGUUCUUGAAGCCUCAAGUGCAGUUGGACCUAAGAACUAAAGGGCACCGCUCUGAUUCAAAGCGUUUUCAUUUUCUCUGCAUCUUUGUUGGAGUUGUUAUUUUUCCAGUUAAGAAACAAAAAGGAGAAUCUGUUGGUUUGAACUCUGUUGCCGUGACAUCUGAACACAGUUCAUCUUGUUUACUCCUUCAAUAAUGAACCAUCAAACUGCAAGGAGCAACUCAUCCUCUCCCCCUGUGGUGUCAAAACCAACAACACCCCCAGGUCAAAAACAACCUGGCAGCCAAAAUCCCAGCAAGUUUAUGCAUGAACUCCAAAAUAUCCAGAGUGAGUUGACCACCUUUCAUGCACAAGGCUUAUCACAGACAUUAAAACAAAAUUCAUGCAACUAUUUGGGGUUUAUGAAGAUAAGUGGUAAAGAAUCACAAUGUUUUUACAAUAUGAAUAAACAUAAACAUAAAUUGUUUAAGCUACUUUGUGUUUGUGAAUGAUAAAGGGAUCUUCUCAUAAACAACAUAUAGAAAGACACACAUAGGAUUUUGGCAUUAACAUCAUCAUGCUGAAUCAUUCCAAUUAAAGUUUAAACUCUAAGUUUCCUAUAAAUCACACACAUAUAAAAUAUUGCUACUUUUGACAUUCCCUGUAUUUUAUAAUUGUCUGAUAUUGUUGAGUAAAUCAAACUCACCUUAAUUGAUUGUACACUUUGC
This 1406-nucleotide long non-coding RNA is filed under the name Oryzias sinensis (Chinese medaka). RNAcentral describes it as "lncRNA (ENSOSIG00000013998.1)". Lineage: Eukaryota; Metazoa; Chordata; Actinopteri; Beloniformes; Adrianichthyidae. The record is from RNAcentral.